GGCCUUAGUACGGCGAGUGAGCGGCAAAGCUCAAAUUUGAAAUCUGGUACCUUUGGUGCCCGAGUUGUAAUUUGGAGAGUACCACUUUGGGACUGUACUUUGCCUAUGUUCCUUGGAACAGGACGUCAUGGAGGGUGAGAAUCCCGUGUGGCGAGGGUGUCAGUUCUUUGUAAAGGGUGCUCGAAGAGUCGAGUUGUUUGGGAAUGCAGCUCUAAGUGGGUGGUAAAUUCCAUCUAAAGCUAAAUACAGGCGAGAGACCGAUAGCGAACAAGUACAGUGAUGGAAAGAUGAAAAGAACUUUGAAAAGAGAGUGAAAAAGUACGUGAAAUUGUUGAAAGGGAAGGGCAUUUGAUCAGACAUGGUGUUUUGCGCCCCUUGCCUCUCGUGGGCUUGGGACUCUCGCAGCUCACUGGGCCAGCAUCGGUUUUGGCGGCCGGAAAAAACCUAGGGAAUGUGGCUCUGCGC
Molecule: ribosomal RNA, 465 nt
Filed under: Nakaseomyces glabratus
Lineage: Eukaryota; Fungi; Ascomycota; Saccharomycetes; Saccharomycetales; Saccharomycetaceae
Description: eukaryotic LSU rRNA
Rfam family: Eukaryotic large subunit ribosomal RNA
Source: RNAcentral